AAGUCGUAACAAGGUUUCCGUAGGUGAACCUGCGGAAGGAUCAUUAGUGAAGCUCGGAACGUUGCGCUCGGUCUGAAGCUGGUCGGCAACGACAUGUGCUCGUCCGGCGUGCGUCCCUUCUCUAUCCACCCCCUCUGUGAACCAAGUGCGAGGUCCGAAGAGAAAUCGGAGGGCUCCGUGCAUACCUUACAUACCCCGAGAAUGUAUCAGAAUGUAUCAGCGUUCAAUCGCAAAAAUACAACUUUCAACAACGGAUCUCUUGGCUCUC
RNAcentral lists this unclassified non-coding RNA (268 nucleotides) under Peniophora sp. Its description in RNAcentral is "partial internal transcribed spacer region". The stretch from base 1 to 46 matches the Rfam family "Eukaryotic small subunit ribosomal RNA", at positions 1786 to 1831 of the family's 1831-position model. Lineage: Eukaryota; Fungi; Basidiomycota; Agaricomycetes; Russulales; Peniophoraceae. The record is from RNAcentral.